Molecule: long non-coding RNA, 106 nt
Filed under: Bos grunniens (domestic yak)
Lineage: Eukaryota; Metazoa; Chordata; Mammalia; Artiodactyla; Bovidae
Description: lncRNA (ENSBGRG00000017582.1)
Source: RNAcentral
CUAUGAAAUUUUGCAGUAUAGUUUAUUCUAGCACUUUAGUGGAGAACGAGUUGCCUAUCAGCAAAAAAUGAGCAAGAACAAAGUGCAAAUAAUUAGUGGAAAGAAA